RNA transcript from Lutra lutra (Eurasian river otter), 2889 nucleotides. It is a transcript of the gene named translation initiation factor IF-2-like, with no coding region annotated. NCBI's taxonomy places the organism in Eukaryota, Metazoa, Chordata, Mammalia, Carnivora, Mustelidae. The record is from RefSeq and is a predicted model, not a curated record. The transcript is spliced from 2 exons.
CCCGCACCAGCGUCGGUUCACCUGGGUUCCCCAGGCCGGUCUCCAGUCGUUGCCCUGCAGUCCCGUAAACCUGAGUUCGGGGAGUGCCGAAGGGUUUUAGGAUCGUUGAAUGGUGAAGACACUGAGGCUGGAAAAGUGAAGCCCUGAUCAGGACACCUGUAUGUAAUCUUGCUGGAAUCUGGCACACAUCUGAGAGAGUAGAAAAACAAUGUGAGGCAAUUGAGCAAAAUGACUGAUGUAAGCACUAAGAGCUCUUGAGUUGAGACAAUGGGGAAAUCAAGACAGGUUAUAGCAUUCAGUCAUUCAGCAACAUUUUUCAAGCAACUGUUGGAUAAACAGUACCCUGCUAGGUACUGUGUACACCCAUCCAGUACUGAAGACAAAGCUACAAAUGAAGAAUUGUGAUACAAUUAGAUCCAUGUUUAGGAUCCUGAGACUCAAGAUACUCUGGGGUAACGUACUUCACCAGGAAGAGGUCAGUGAGGUUUCACAGAUAAUUUAAUGUUUAAAAUGGGUCUUGGAGGAUAUUUGAGAGUUUCUCAAGUGGAGAAAAGGGUAAAUCGUAUCUGGCAGAGGGAAGAGCAUGUACUAAGGUACAGAAAGCUGGACAUACAUGGCAAGACUGAGAAUCAGAGAGUGAGUCACUGUGUCUGGAGGUCAAGUACAUAAAGUUUGUAGAGGUAAGACUAGGAAGAGAAAUUGGGGCCAUGUUGUAUAUGAGGUAAAAGAGUUUACAUAUUAUCCUCCAGGAAAUGGGAAAAUGAAGAUAUUUUAGAGUGACAAAUCUGCAGUGUGAAGGAAAAAUUUGAGCCAGAGAGAAGAUAACACCUGAGCUUUACUUGGAAUGCUACUUUAGAGUUGGCUAAGCAAAGAAGUGGGUAUAGAGCUUGAGCAGAGGCUUAAAGUCCUGACAAGCAAGUCCUGACAGGGACGAUGAGACCAGCCAGGUGAGAAAGGCAUAAUCUCAGGAGAACGACAGAAGGAAGAAAACAUUAUACAAUGAAGAAUCUUGAUGCAGUUGGAAAGUUGAACCUCCUCGUUAUAGGCAGGUCGCGUAGCCACUGGAUAUUUCCAUCAUGUUUUAGGUGUGAAAUGAAUUACAAAUUGAGUAAGGAACAAAGGAAGCAUCAUAUUCUGGCUAUGUGGUAGUAAGAAUAUAGUCUCUGCUUGCAGUAAUGAACCCCUGUGGGUGGCAAUGAGUCUGAAUUGGAGAAAGUCGACCUCAGCAAUGUUUGAAAGAUUAACCAGAGGUCUUCGGUUUUAAAAGAUGUCUCUCACAACCUCUGUGUAAUUUCAAAUUCUCACUGAAAUGACUAGUCAUCUACUUUUUUAAAACCACACUACCAAAAACUAGUAUUGAUUAUUAAUCUUUUUUCCAGAGUCCAGAAGGACUAUUUUUCCUACCAUAUUAAUGUAACUGGAUGGGAAAUUCAACGAUAAUCCAUCCCUGCCAUGCACUGUUUUAAAAAGGUAGGUGCUUUGUCGCUCUUUACUAUUUGCCCUCCUGAGAAAUCAUAGGUCCACACCAGUGGUUCCCAGAAUUCAGGGUACAUCCCAGUCAUCUAGAGAAUUGUUAAAAUGUGGAUUCUCAGGCUUCACUCCCCAUCCCCACCCUGAGAUUCUGACUCAGAAGGUCUGAAAAGGCCCAAGAAUAUGCAUUUUUGCAAUACCUAUAGGAGAUCACCCACAUGCCACACAUUUUAGUCACAAAACUGGGUAAUAGUUCUCUCCAUUGUUCUAUUUUGUAGUUAAAGCUGCCCUCCUAUUUAUCCUCUUCAGCACUGCUUCUUAAACAAUUUGUAAGUACUCUCCCCUUAUCUACAAACAAUCAAAAUAAAAUAAAAUAAAAACUGAGCAGGGAAUUGAAGAAAAGAAGAAAGAAGAGAACAGAUAACGGCUCCUUUAUAUCAUGAAAUGUUGUUAGACAAGGACAUGGCAGGAAUAGCAGCCCUGACAAUACUUUGAACUGUAGGUUUUCUUGAACUCCUUCUAUUCAGAGUAUGGGAAGGAGCCCGAAGGAACCACAAGAGCCAAAGCCAGCUAGAUCUUAAGAUCUGUGAAGGGAAUUUGACCAGCACACGAGCGGACAGACAAGAGGGCCAAAGACAAUUCGACCAGUCUGUCUGUUGGCAAAGACCAGGUCAGGCUCAAUGGAUUAUUCUAUAUCCAAAAAUAAGUAAAAAGGAGGAAAAAAGAAUCCAUUUUAAAGAUACUGUGAGACAGAGGAAAUAAAAUAGCAUGUCAAUUCAGAAGGCAGGUAUAUCAGUGAAAACUUAUUACAGUAAUGAGGGGGGAAAGAGCUGUAUUUGCAUGGUUAAGGAUCUAAGAGUACGUAGCCUUUAUGAAAUAAGAGUGAGGAAGAACAUGAGAAGCUGAGAAAGAAAGAGAUGAGUGAGGUAAGAAAUAUAUAUUGGAAGAACACCAGCACACACACAAAGUACUCCAUAAUGCCGGAAAAAAUAUUUUAAAACAGCACUUAAAGUGAAUUAGUAAGCUUAUAAGAAAGUAGAGAAAAUUCUCUAAAUCCAAGAAUAAAGCUAGAGGAAGAGUCUGGGAGGUUGAGGAAUCACCAAAUGUGCUGGAUGCCCUGAAAACAUCUGUUCUCCCAGGUGCGUAUAGCUGUAGGUGACACACAGAACAGGGAGUGAGUGGUUUGAAGACCCCAGCAUAAAGCCAGAGUGGGAAAAGGGCUACACAAUUAGCUAAAUGGUAGACUAAGAGAAAAAAUUGCUGAGGUAGACAAUAAGACAUCACACCUAUCUGGUUGAUUCUAGGUAGAACAUUUUUUUCUUUAAGAAUGUGUGGCUUCAGGGUGCCUGGGUGGCUCAGUCCUUAAGCAUCUGCCUCCAGCUCAGGUCAUGAUUCCAGGAUCCUGGGAUCCAGCCCCAU